Molecule: ribosomal RNA, 2169 nt
Filed under: Triticum aestivum (bread wheat)
Lineage: Eukaryota; Viridiplantae; Streptophyta; Magnoliopsida; Poales; Poaceae
Description: partial small subunit ribosomal RNA
Source: RNAcentral
AUGUCUAGUAGGUCUUCUUCAGUUAGAACUGAAGCAGGCAGUGGAGGUAGCAUGGAUGCAGUCCAUGUAUUGGCUGCUGCUCGUGUGAUUCCGGAAGAUGAUAAUGAGAAGAAGCCUUUGUGGAGGUACGUCCAGACGUUGGAAAAUACUAGGAAAGGGAAAGGAGGCAACAAGAGAUCCAUGUGUAGGCUUUGUGAGUAUGUUAUCAAUGGUAGCUACUCAAGAGUAAAGGCACACCUUUUGAAGAUUCCUAACAUGGGUGUGAGUUCAUGUCAAAAGGUCACUGUCGAUGUUCUUGUUCAGUUGAAAGGUGAGCAAAAGAGAGCCGAUGCACUGAUUGAGAGCAAUAAACCUAGAGAAAUCCCACUGCCAACUGAAGGAUUUGGAGCAAAUGCAAGAAAGAAAAGGGGGGGUAAUCCAAUUGAGGCAUGCUUUGACAUGGAAGCUCGCAACCACCUUGAUGCAUUGAUCGCAAGGAUGUUUUACACAGCAGGGAUCCCAUUCAAUGUUGCACGUAAUCCUUGGUUCAGGGCAGCUUUCAUCUUUGCUGCCGGCCAUGCCAAUUCGUUGGCUGGCUAUGCCCCUCCAAGUUAUGAUAAGCUCAGGACCACUCUUCUGGUGCAAGAGAGGACACAUGUUGAUAGAAUGUUGAUGCCCAUCAAAUCAACAUGGAGCAGCAAAGGUGUGACUAUUGUUUCAGAUGGAUGGUCUGAUCCUCAAAGGCGUCCAUUACUUAAUUUCAUGGCUAUAACAGAAGAUGGGCCCAUGUUUCUAAGGUCAAUUAACACCGAGGGAGAGGUGAAGUCAAAGGAGUACAUCAGGGACAGGCUUUGUGAAAUUAUUGAGGCUGUUGGACCAGCAAAUGUUGUGCAGGUGAUAACAGAUAAUGCAUCAAACUGCAGGGGCGCAGGUCUGUUGGUGCAAGAAAGGUAUAAUCACAUUUUCUGGACUGCAUGUGUUGUGCACACUUUAAAUCUUGCCUUGAAGAGCAUAGGUUCAGCUACUAGCCAGGAUGACCCUCUUUAUGAUCAUUGCAAUUGGAUUAGUGAGAUUGCAGCAGAUGGCUUUCGCAUAAAACAUUUCAUUAUGAGUCAUUCCAUGAGGUUGUCUAUGUUCAAUGCUAGUAGUAAACUGAAAUUGCUUGCUGUGGCUGAUACUAGAUUUGCUUCUCAAGUUGUGAUGUUGAAGAGACUGGUACAAAUAAGACAAGCUCUAACAAUGAUGGUGGUGGGGCCAAAGUGGAAUGACUACAGAAAUGACAAUGUAGAAGGAGCACGAUUUGUGAAAGAAAAAAUACUGGAUGAUGAUUGGUGGAAUAAGGUUGAGUACUUCAUUGAAUUUGCAGAGCCAAUAUAUUCUAUGAUUAGAGCAGCUGAUACAGAUAAACCCUGCCUUCAUCUGACCUAUGAGAUGUGGGAUAUGAUGAUUGAGAAGGUGAAGGAAGUAAUAUACAGGAAAGAAGGUCUAGAACCCCAUGAAGAAUCCCCAUUCUUCUCUGCGGUCAAUGAUGUCUUAAUUUUUCGCUGGACAAAGAGUAGCACUCCGCUGCAUUGCUUGGCUCACUCGCUCAAUCCCAAGUACUACACUACAGCCUGGAUUAGUGAAGUUCCAGGCCGUCAAGCUCCACACAUGGAUCAAGAGAUUUCAGAUGAAAGAAAUGCAUGCUUUAGAAGAUUCUUUCCUCAUGGGGGCCCAGAAAUGAAUGAACUGAAACAGCAGUUUGCCAACUUCAGUCUUAUGGGUCCUGGAUUUAAUGGUUUCGACUCCAUUGAAGAUAGAUCUUUGCUAGAGCCGAAGCAGUGGUGGGGGAUUCAUGGAAAUUCUGCCCCGGCUUUGAGGACCAUUGCUCUGAAAUUACUUGGGCAACCAACCUCCUCUUCUUGUUCUGAAAGGAAUUGGAGUACAUAUGGCAUGAUACACAAUACAUUGAGGAACAGGCUCAACCCUGCACGUGCUGAAGAUUUAGUUUUUGUGCAUCAAAACUUGCGCCUUAUUUCAAGGAAAUCACCAGAGUAUAUAUCUGGCCCAUCCAGAUUUUGGGACAUUGGAGGAGAUAGAUAUGAGCUGUUCGUUGGUGGUGCUGACUUCCUGCAGCAAGCUGAACUAUCACUAGAUGAGCCUGAACUGGAGGACUUGCUGAAUGAAAUUGAAGCGUUGGAUGUGGAUUAG